This 4982-nucleotide long non-coding RNA is filed under the name Penaeus japonicus. RNAcentral describes it as "uncharacterized LOC122266726". The record is from RNAcentral. Lineage: Eukaryota; Metazoa; Arthropoda; Malacostraca; Decapoda; Penaeidae.
AUCCAAAAUGAAGAUAAUAUGAAGAGGUAGGGAAGAGGAAGGAAACUUGUGCUUAUGACUGUGAGUGCCACAGUAAAAGGCAAAGGGGCACAUUGUAGACGUUGGGCAUGGUUUGAGUCACAUUCCACUUCUUGUUCUUUCUGCACUCCUUCAUCUGCGGCACUUUAGAGCAAGAGGUCAGCAACUUACUAUGUGCCAUCGCUCUAUACAGAUAGUGCUUGCUAGAGACUAUAGAUGGGUGCCAUUCAAAGCUCUCUCUCCUGCUGGUGCUAGAAGAAAGUGGUGCCAUCUAGGUUUUGGAUGUUAGUAAUUAUGGCUGCAAUUGUCAACAUCACGCACUCAUUACUUAAAGCACAAUAAAAUACCAUGGUGACCCAAAAUCCCUGAACAUCAUGACGCCCAUUGUCAAGCCAGAGCUCCUGCGUCAUGUAUGACAAAAGACACGUCACCUGUCAUUAUCGGGUGAAGAUCUGUGUUUUCAGUUUUUUUUCAGUUAUUAGUCUAUAUAUGAUAUAUAUGAUUCAAAUUCGCAUUUGCGGUAAUAGGAUGGCAUAACUAAAGGGAUAUAGAAAUUGUAAUUUCAAUAAAAGGGAAAAUGCAGUAUGAAAGUGAUCAGACCCCAUGAAAACCCUUGUUACAGAAGGGUUAAAAAAAAUAUUGAGGGGGAGGAAACACACAAUUCUUGGAUGAUAACACUGCACUUAGGUCCAUAGUUACAAAAAGUAUAACAAGGAUUUGAAUUGGACUGAUCAAGAAUACUGUCAUUUACUGAUACGAAGGCAAUUGUAAAAUUAAUAUUUUCUCAAAUAGUUAGGUCAGUUCUAAAGCUGAUGACAUCUUUAUAGGCAUCUUUAUGCAUUGUCAAUACUUUAGUUACAUUAAUAAUGAGACUGCUUUGACAGUCAGAAGCCUGUUGGACAAUGUGUCUGAAUUAUGAGAAGAAAUAAGGGCGUAAAUAUUUGCAAUUUGACAAAAUCGCAAACCAAAAUAUACUGAUAUCAGCAGUCUUUGUAUUGCAUAAGAGACUGAUGCUGAUAGCUUUAAACUUCAAAACAUUCAUUUGUGAGAAUGUGCUUUCAUUUUAGUCGUUAGUAUUCCUUUUAUUUUGUCUUUAUUUUUUUUUGCCUGUCUAAUAGGUUAGUAUUGCAUUUUUUUCUGUUCUUCUGCUUAUGCUGUGUGGCAGUCAAUCAAGGCCUAAUAGUAAGAUAUCAGAAUUCAUGCACAGUCAGGGAACAUGAAAAUAUUUGCUUCUCCUUUAAAUUUUUUGGUACUUAGAAAAAGAAAGGAAAGCAGUGCAAUAAAAGUUAUCAAGUGAAUAACUGAAUAUAAUAAUGGUAAAAUAGCAAAAGUAUCCCAUUUAGCACUGAAAUAGGGCAGAUAUCAUUAUAGUGCCUGUUAUCUACACAAUUUCAUGAUUUGUAACAACACAGGCUUUUGGAAGAUCUAAGAGAAAUACAGCAAUUAUUUAUAUCUAAUCAGGGAAUGAUGAAUUCUGGCUCGUAUAGAGAAAUUGGUUAUAAUGGUAAAUAUAGUAUGAUAAGAUUAGCAUAAACAGCUCUAAGGGUAAAUAUAACUGAUAAUAAAAAGUGGGCCAUUAGCAGGAAAAUAAAACAACCUUUUAUGACACAUCUUUAAAAAAAUUCUAGGAUACAUAAUACCUCACAGAUCUCAAUAAAAGAAAAAUGUGAUCUAUUGUCUAAAUUAAUCUAUGUAAACGUAUAUUAAAGGAACUAAAUUCAAUCUGAAAUCAGAGUUUAUACACAUUCAAAUUCACUAGUUUCAUAAAUAAUCCUGUGUGCUAUGAAAAUGAUUUUGAGGUCUUAUCAUUACUCAACAAUGUAUCAUAAAUAAGAUGUAUGUCCUGUAUAUCAUAUUUGUUGAAACACAGCAACUCUACUUACAAGAACUGAAACCUAGAGCACUGUAUUGUGCCUACACCACCCAUGGCACUUGCCUAUGACAGACUGAACUGAUAACUGGUAGACUCUUAGAACGUGGAAAUUUAAUAAAUAUGAAAGUGGGUUAAUUAGCUACUCUAAGGUUCAACCCAUUUGUGCAGGCUGUGUUGUCUAACAAGGUGAAGCUCUAAAAUACAAACAGCUAAAAAAGAAUUUUGACAUAGAAGAAGGAAAUUCAAGAGAAAAUCCAGUGGGAUACAUGUCCCAUCUAAAAAGACAUAUUCAGAUUCAUCAUGAACCUAUAUCUGGCGAGCUAAACCUACAUAUAUUCUAAAAUCUCAAUUGUAACCAUUCUUCAAAAAAUAAUUGUGCUAUUACCUCCUAAAAGUGAUUUUAUCUAUUGCAAUAAUGGCCUUUGAAUAAAUUAUCACCUCCAUCCUUCGCACCCCCUUCACUUCGGGACUUCACUGUGUUUCUUCAAGUGUUGCUUUAACGAGCCAUAAUCUCGACUCCUGUAAUCACACAGCUCACACUUAUAUGGCUUUUCUCCUGUGUGUAUUCUCAUGUGCCGCUUCAGAGCUUCACUGUAGCUUGUCUUAUAUGUACAAAGUUCACAGUUGUAGGGCUUUUCACCUGUGUGAGUUCUCAUGUGCUUGGUCAGGUUGCUCUUCCACUGGAACACCUUCCCACACUGAACGCAGGUGUGACCCGCAUCAUUUUCAUUACUGACCAGGUGUGGGCCCUCCUCUCUUCUCUUAACCAUAGACAUACUUGCUUUGCUGCCAUUUUGCUGUGGUGCUCCCUGCAAGAUUGAACUGUUAGUAACUAUAUAGCUGUUAGUUAUAUAAAGUCAAAUUUUAUUUCAGAAAAAAACUAUCCAUAAUAUGGAAUAGAAAUAUAUAUUACAUAUAUCUAGUCUAUGUGAUGUCCUGUCAAGAAUACAGUACUGUUUAAAAGUCAUAGCAAAUAUACUUACAUGUGUGUUGCCUUCAAUCAUGACAUUCAACAUAGCAUUGACCUCAGCAUUUGAACUUGUUGCUUGUGUGUUUGGAUUGUCGCUGUGUGCUGCCUGACUCGAAUUCCCAUAGUUCUCUCUCCCCGAAGUAGAGAUGAGUGUCUGCAGAGACUUGAGAUGGGGUGAAUAGCCCUCCUCCUGGCCAUAGCCUAUGUCUGGAACGUCCGCCUCAAUAUUGUGAUCCUCUACUUCAAUCUUGAUCUUUAUCUCUGAUUCGUUCUCCAUUCCUUGGCUGUGUGUGGUUUUACUCCUCUUGCUCUGGUAGUCUUCCUCGUAGGGUACAUCUGCAUCCCACUUUUGUUUCCUCUUGUGGGGUCUCUCGCUGGCUGCGCUCAUGACCUCCAUUUCUCUGCUGCUGCUGUCUCUGUCCUUAGAAUCACUGCCAUCUCCACUGCUCUCACACUCAUCAUCCUCGUAGGGCACAGCCAGGCCACGCACCAUCAGCACCUCAGCUGCGCUCACGAGCUUGGGGAGAUCCUCCUGAUUGACCACAACCUCUCCCAGGUACAUGAAGUCUAGAAGUGCCGCCAACUCUUUGUGCUGCACAUUGGACGACAGGGAAAUAGAGCCUCUAUGUGGGAUGUCAAUCAGUAUGUCUUUGAAGUACUCACUGCAGGCCGUCAGGACAAACUUAUGCACCCAGUGAACAUGGCCAUCACAUUCCAGCUGCACGUCAGCAUAAAUUUCCUGAAAAAAGAGAGGGAGAAUCAUCAUUUACAUAAAAAGACAUUUGCCAAGAAUACUUAUCAACCCUUCUGAGAUGGGCCACAUCUUAACCCAUUGUGGAUGGGUGGCAACAUGUACAUGCCAAAGGAGUUUUUGGCCCAAGGACGGGGGCAACGCUUAGGUGCCAAUAGUCGUCAUGGCAUAUCUGACGUUGGGGGAAAGUGAAUCACUGUGAUUCUCUAUUACCCUAUGAGUAAUAACUAUUUUGUAACUGAUGAUGCCAAAUACAAUUAUAAUUACUGCAAUAAUUGUAUCAUUCACCAAAUAGUUUUAGUUUAAAAUCCCUGGAUUAGUUGAACCACUCUCUCUUAGCACCAGCAGGAACAAAAGCCUUGAAGGGUGCCCCUCCACGGUCUUUACCAUGCACUAUCUUCAGAGAGCGAUGACACACAGCAAAGGGCCAACUUCUGGCUCUAUAGUACCAGCAAUGCAGAAUGGACUCACUGAAUGAGAACAGGAAGUUGAUCGAGACCAUGUGCAUCGUCUGCAUAUUUGCCACUAUGUCAGUAUGGCUGCUUUGUGAUGUGGCACUCGCAGUCAUAAGCACAGGUCUCCUUACUUUUCCCCAUUAAUUUAUUUUCAUGGUUAUUUCUUUCGUAUCUGUUUAUGAAAGCACAUAUAUAUGGGAAAAAUAAAGUUGCUUUUUAUCCUCUCAAAACUGUAAUACUUCAUCACACUGAGUACAAAGAACAUAAUUCUACUCUAUUACAAUAUUGAUAGACACUGUCAGAUGGCACAUAACAGAGACAUGAAAAAUUGUGAUUCUUUGGGUGGAGCUCCAUCACUCUAAAAUAAAAAUCCAACCUGGGUGCCACACAGGUGGUACUAGUGCCCAUCCUCAGGAUAAUUCAAGCAAAUCUAUCCCUGCCCCAAUAACAACGGGGCAGUUUUGGCUCUGCCCAGUCCUAACUCCAGGGUAUUUCAAAUGCACAGGCUUAAUGCCUCCUGCUAUUGGGAGGAGACUCUGGCUCUGGCCACCCUCUAUGUGCACAAUCACCCAGUGUGCCAGCCAUACAAAAAGCUACGAUGUGAUAUCAAAAGCCCUGCCACCACAUGAUGUGAUAUCAUGUCACCAGGUUAAGAUGUUCAGUCUUGGCUGGGACCUUGAUAUGUAGUGUUUUCUAUUUUCUAGACUUACGGUAUGAUCUAUAAGUUUAUAUACAAUGUAUUGGUAAAGUGAUACUAAUCAGCAUUUCAUAUGCUUCAUUAGUUAAACAACUGAAGGAAUAACCAGCCUGUAUAUUGAACAAAAAAUGCUGUGAAAAAAUUAUCCAACCCCUCAUAUAAUGCCCUCAGUGGAAGAGUUAAAAGAGUGAUGGUAACUAAUAAAUGGUUAAACAGCA